Nilaparvata lugens (brown planthopper) is the source of this 823-nucleotide long non-coding RNA. RefSeq lists it as uncharacterized. Lineage: Eukaryota; Metazoa; Arthropoda; Insecta; Hemiptera; Delphacidae. The transcript is spliced from 2 exons. The record is from RefSeq and is a predicted model, not a curated record.
AAGACAUCAUGGAUCUACAUUUUUUCAAAAUGAGGACUGCUCAACUCCUCAUUCAAGAUCAGAAUCAACCAAACUUCGACUCAGAAUCAGAUUCAGAUGAGGAACCUCCUGCGAAAAGACAAGCUGGAAGACCUGGAAAAGUUUCUCUUCCUCUGCCAGAGGUGAGGAGUCAAGGAGCCCUUCAUCUUCCACAGGCAAUGGAUGUAAAAGAUGCACAACGGUGUCGCAAUCCAGGUUGUAAAACAGGCAAAUCACGGAUCAAAUGCUCACAAUGCAAUGUGUAUCUAUGUGUUUUAAAUUACAGGAAUUGUUUUUAUGAUUUUCAUAAGUAGGAUUAAGAAAAGAACUAGAUGUUGGAUUAGAGGAUUAGGAUUAAAGGACAUUUUAUUCACUGUAAUGAAUUAUUAUGUUACUAUUCUUAUGUUCGAUUUUGUGCUCUAUUAGUUUUGUUCAUUAACUCCUUAAACUAUGAAAGAGCAAUUUAAAUUCUAUUAAGUUUAACCUUAUUGCAUUCAAAUAAAUUCUAGUGUAUUCAGUUCUCUGCAAAUUAAGAUUAUUUAGUAUAGGUUCAAGUUCAGGACAUUUUAUUAAUGUAAUUUUUUUAUUUUCUUACUAUUUUUAUGUUUAGUUUUGUGCUCAAUCAGUUAAGUUCAUUAAUUCCUCAAUCUAUGGAGAACAAUUUGAAUUAUAGUAAGUUAAUGAAGAUUCAAAUAAAUUCUUAUGUAUUCAGAUUUUUUGAAAAUUAAGAUUAGCCUAUUCAGUACAGUAUAGGUUCAAGUGGCUCUAGUAUAGAGACCCAAUGUCCACAAAUGUUGACAAAUUU